ACUAAUUCAUUCCGGUUAACUCGCCGUUUUUCUCCGGCAAGAUUUUGGGUAUCUCUGCCCUUUGGAAGCGUUUUCCGGCGACAACGGAGGUCAUUUGGGCGAAGGAGCUGUACUUUCGUGAUGCACUCAUCGAGAGGAUCGUUUUGAUAUAUGACAUGCAUAUAUUCGUCGACGUUUCCGGUACCGCCACCAACCGCUAUAGGGCACCGCUUGGUUAAGGUUCCGGAACUUGAAAUUUUAAAUAUGGUCAUAUUAUAUGUCAUUGGACACGAUUUUGAAUAAGAAAUGCUAUGAUGAUAAUCGUUUGCUCAUUUGGUGCACGUAGGAAAAACGUGAUAUUAAAAUCGGACUAAAUCAUUCUAAAAUCAUCGAUAAGCUUAGGAGCGUUGCUUUGGGCUCGGAUUAAAUUUUAAGGAGGUAUCUAAAGAGGAGCCUAGUGACGCGAACGUGGAAAAGUGUGAAUUAUUGCUGAAGCCAAUGUGUUUAGUGCCAUAGUCCUAUCUUUUGAACAUUGUAUGUAUUUAAUUUGGAACCUAUCGAUUUGUACAUCUAAAUUAGCUAUGUCCUAGUUAGAAAUGAGGAAUGGUGGAUGCUAAGUAUUAUUUUGGGUAUUUUUUGACUUAUUAAAUUUAACUGUUUGGUGACUACAUAACUGUGGGGAUAUUAUUAUUCUAUGUAUUAAGAUAAAUGAUCCUACUUUUAUC
Long non-coding RNA from Humulus lupulus (European hop), 704 nucleotides. RefSeq lists it as uncharacterized. The record is from RefSeq and is a predicted model, not a curated record. NCBI's taxonomy places the organism in Eukaryota, Viridiplantae, Streptophyta, Magnoliopsida, Rosales, Cannabaceae. The transcript is spliced from 2 exons.